Molecule: ribosomal RNA, 253 nt
Filed under: uncultured bacterium
Lineage: Bacteria
Description: partial 16S ribosomal RNA
Rfam family: Bacterial small subunit ribosomal RNA
Source: RNAcentral
GACGAACCGAGCGAACGUUGUUCGGAAUCACUGGGCUUAAAGGGCGCGUAGGCGGGCUGCCGCGUCCGGGGUGAAAUCCUCCCGCUUAACGGGAGAACGGCCUCGGAUACGGGCGGCCUCGAGGGGGGUAGGGGCAUCUGGAACUGUGGGUGGAGCGGUGAAAUGCGUUGAUAUCCACAGGAACUCCGGUGGCGAAGGCGAGGUGCUGGACCCCAUCUGACGCUGAGGCGCGAAAGCCAGGGGAGCGAACGGG